RNAcentral lists this long non-coding RNA (249 nucleotides) under Lathyrus oleraceus (garden pea). Its description in RNAcentral is "Pisum sativum (pea) long non-coding RNA (PSAT_LNC038944)". Lineage: Eukaryota; Viridiplantae; Streptophyta; Magnoliopsida; Fabales; Fabaceae. The record is from RNAcentral.
UUUCAUUAUUUUUUCUUUUCUUUAUUGAUCAUUUUUCUCUCGUUUUGCUUUGAUCUUCUCUCACACCUCACUAGGAUUUAAUGGUACAAGAUUGAUUUUUUGAUCAUAAUACAUAAAAGAAUACUUAUUAGAAUACCCAUCAUGAUUGGCUUUUCUAUUAAAUUGUCAAGGUCUUCCUAAUAACAAAUGACUAGCUUCCAUUGCUACUACAUCACACAACACCACAUCCUCAUAUAUUCUAAUUUUAAA